AACUAACGCUGGCGGCGUGCCUAACACAUGCAAGUCGUACGAGAAAGUCGGCUUCGGCUGAUAAGUAAAGUGGCGCACGGGUGAGUAACGCGUGGAUAAUCUGCCCUUUAGUUGGGAAUAACGUACCGAAAGGUGCGCUAAUACCGAAUAAUGCUGAGUGACAUCAGUUAUUUAGCCAAAGAAGGCCUCUGCUUGCAAGCUUUCGCUGAAGGAUGAGUCCGCGUACCAUUAGCUAGUUGGUAGGGUAAUGGCCUACCAAGGCGACGAUGGUUAGCUGGUCUGAGAGGAUGAUCAGCCACACUGGAACUGAGACACGGUCCAGACUCCUACGGGAGGCAGCAGUGAGGAAUAUUGCGCAAUGGGGGCAACCCUGACGCAGCAACGCCGCGUGAGUGAGGAAGGUUUUCGGACCGUAAAGCUCUGUCGAGCGGGAAGAAAUGUAUCAUGGCUAAUAUCCAUGAUACUUGACGGUACCGCUAAAGG
This 483-nucleotide ribosomal RNA is filed under the name uncultured bacterium. RNAcentral describes it as "bacterial SSU rRNA". It matches the Rfam family "Bacterial small subunit ribosomal RNA", at positions 29 to 487 of the family's 1533-position model. The record is from RNAcentral.